RNAcentral lists this ribosomal RNA (225 nucleotides) under Shigella boydii. RNAcentral's name for it is "partial 16S ribosomal RNA". It matches the Rfam family "Bacterial small subunit ribosomal RNA", at positions 1 to 222 of the family's 1533-position model. The record is from RNAcentral. Lineage: Bacteria; Pseudomonadati; Pseudomonadota; Gammaproteobacteria; Enterobacterales; Enterobacteriaceae.
AAAUUGAAGAGUUUGAUCAUGGCUCAGAUUGAACGCUGGCGGCAGGCCUAACACAUGCAAGUCGAACGGUAACAGGAAUCAGCUUGCUGAUUCGCUGACGAGUGGCGGACGGGUGAGUAAUGUCUGGGAAACUGCCUGAUGGAGGGGGAUAACUACUGGAAACGGUAGCUAAUACCGCAUAAUGUCGCAAGACCAAAGAGGGGGACCUUCGGGCCUCUUGCCAUC